UACGUAGGGUGCAAGCGUUGUUCGGAAUCAUUGGGCGUAAAGCGGGUGUAGGUGGUUAUGCAAGUCGGGUGUGAAAUCCCUCGGCUUAACCGAGGAAGUACAUUCGAUACUACAUAGCUAGAGGAAGGUAGAGGGAGGUGGAAUUCCUAGUGUAGAGGUGAAAUUCGUAGAUAUUAGGAGGAAUACCGGUGGCGAAGGCGGCCUCCUGGGCCUUCUCUGGCACUGAGACCCGAAAGCGUGGGGAUCAAACAGG
RNAcentral lists this ribosomal RNA (253 nucleotides) under uncultured bacterium. RNAcentral's name for it is "partial 16S ribosomal RNA". It matches the Rfam family "Bacterial small subunit ribosomal RNA", at positions 524 to 776 of the family's 1533-position model. The record is from RNAcentral.